UAAGGAAUAUUGGUCAAUGGACGCAAGUCUGAACCAGCCAUGCCGCGUGGAGGAUUAAGGACCUCUGGGUUGUAAACUCCUUUUAUCUGGGAAGAAAUGUACUUUUUCUUGAGUACUUGACGGUACCAGAGGAAUAAGCACCGGCUAACUCCGUGCCAGCAGCCGCGGUAAUACGGAGGGUGCAAGCGUUAUCCGGAUUCACUGGGUUUAAAGGGUGCGUAGGUGGGCAGGUAAGUCAGUGGUGAAAUCUCCGGGCUUAACCCGGAAACUGCCGUUGAUACGCUUUGUCUUGAAUAUUGUGGAGGUAAGCGGAAUAUGUCAUGUAGCGGUGAAAUGCUUAGAUAUGACAUAGAUCACCAAUUGCGAAGGCAGCUUACUACACAAUCAUUGACGCUGAGGCACGAAAGCGUGGGGAUC
RNAcentral lists this ribosomal RNA (417 nucleotides) under uncultured bacterium. RNAcentral describes it as "bacterial SSU rRNA". It matches the Rfam family "Bacterial small subunit ribosomal RNA", at positions 355 to 769 of the family's 1533-position model. The record is from RNAcentral.